Long non-coding RNA from Acipenser ruthenus (sterlet), 470 nucleotides. RefSeq lists it as uncharacterized. The transcript is spliced from 2 exons. The record is from RefSeq and is a predicted model, not a curated record. Lineage: Eukaryota; Metazoa; Chordata; Actinopteri; Acipenseriformes; Acipenseridae.
AAAAAAAAGAUUUUGAUCUCCUCGACCAAGCAGGAAUUGGAACAUGACAUAAUCGGUGGAAAAAUAAAACCAAACAGGAUGCUUCUGUUAUUGAAUCCUGGCUAUAUGCCAAAAUUGAAAGAGGCACUGAAAGCGAGGAUGUCAGUUUCUGAUUAAAAAGAGGCAUGCACAUUUUAUUAUGUUCUUGAUGUUGAUGGUAGAUAAUGUUGGCGGUGCUAACAUUGAAUGUUUUUUUUUUUUUUUUUGUGCUACAGACAAUUGCUCUUUAUGAUAAUAUCAAGAGUGCCUUGAAGAUGGAGAUGAAUCCUCAGAAUACUAAGUUACUCCUAGAUCUGUUAGAUCCUGAGAUCAUAAUUAUAAUUUUAGAAACCCAUGAAGGAUUUUGCAGAUUUCAGUCAGCAUUAGCAUCGGCAGGUCCAAUAUGAAAGAUCUUAAAUAUACUGUGAUUGAAAUAAAAACAUUGCAAAACA